This 274-nucleotide unclassified non-coding RNA is filed under the name Hevea brasiliensis (rubber tree). Lineage: Eukaryota; Viridiplantae; Streptophyta; Magnoliopsida; Malpighiales; Euphorbiaceae. The record is from RNAcentral.
GGAUGAGAUUGCGUCUGCAUCCAGAAAAGUUGGAACUCUGGCAUUAAAGUCACCAGACCAAAGCACUUUCUCUUCUCCUAGAUUCUCUGUACCAAAAAUGCAAAGUGAUAUUGGGACCAGCUCAAUUCAGAAUGANNNCAAGAAAAGUUGGAAGUCAAGCAACAAAGUCACCUUCCCAAAGUGUUCAUUCUUCUCCCCGGUUUGCUGUUCCAUUCACAAAAAGUGGUACUGGGACCACAUCACUGCAAAAUGAUAUAAAUUCUACAUCAACUAA